Molecule: ribosomal RNA, 455 nt
Filed under: uncultured bacterium
Lineage: Bacteria
Description: bacterial SSU rRNA
Rfam family: Bacterial small subunit ribosomal RNA
Source: RNAcentral
UACGGGAGGCAGCAGUGGGGAAUAUUGCACAAUGGGCGCAAGCCUGAUGCAGCCAUGCCGCGUGUAUGAAAAGGCCUUCGGGUUGUAAAGUACUUUCAGUCGUGAGGAAGGUGUUAAGGUUAAUAACCUUAGCAAUUGACGUUAGCGACAGAAGAAGCACCGGCUAACUCCGUGCCAGCAGCCGCGGUAAUACGGAGGGUGCGAGCGUUAAUCGGAAUUACUGGGCGUAAAGGGCACGCAGGCGGUUAAUUAAGUUGGAUGUGAAAUCCCCGGGCUUAACCUGGGAAUGGCAUUCAAGACUGGUUAGCUAGAGUCUUGUAGAGGGGGUAGAAUUCCAUGUGUAGCGGUGAAAUGCGUAGAGAUGUGGAGGAAUACCGGUGGCGAAGGCGGCCCCUGGACAAAGACUGACGCUCAUGUGCGAAAGCGUGGGGAGCAAACAGGGAUUAGAUACCCGU